AGAAUGUAUCGGGUAGAACGUCUCCAGUGACACCUUUUGUUUCAUAUUAGAAUGGUUGUUGUUUUAGUGUCCACAUAGACCAAUAUUGAUUCUAAACUUCUUUUCUCAUCAUUUUUCUUCAAAAAUCAUCCUGGUGGAGUUAUCAAUACCAGUAAAUGGAUACUGAAAGCACAAGAAUUAUGACCAACAAUUAAUACACAGUGCUUCACAAAGCUGAAAGGAUUCUGUUUGGCAGAGAGCACCAUCAUUCAAGGAUUGUGGCAGCCUAGAGAAUGGGGAAUGUCUUGGCCAAUUAUGCAUCUGACAGUCUGUAUAUAAAAUAUGUAACACUGAAUAUCAAGAAUACAUUACCCAAAGUAAAAAUGUAUGUGUAGACCUUUGUAAAAACUUCUCAAAAGAAGAAACACAAGCCCUUCUGGAAUGCAUCUGUGCCAUGGCGGAUUGGCAAGUCUGCCCCUCUAAACACACCACAGUUUACCAGACUUCUAGGUGAUCUGCUGUAGCCAGGGCAACAGGUAGGAAAACACCCUAAAUAACCACAACACUUGUGAUCUCCAAGGGGCCCAAAAGAUGCUGGACCACUCCAGUCCAUGAGAACUCAAUCUCCCUUCAGGUCUGGACCUCUUCAAUGGCUGAUCAGCAUAUCUGCCCCUCUCAACAGUUCAGAGUCUACAGAUCUCCUAGGAGAUCUCUUGCAGCCAGGAACACAGGUCUCUCAGGGGAUUUUCUGCAAUCAAGGACACAGGAGGCAGAUUCCAGAUGGAGAAGCCCAGGCCACUUAAUAUCAGAGAUGAGCAGAUGGCAAAAAGCAAGCUCAAUAACAUGAGCAAGAUAAGACAAGAUACUUCAGCACCAUCAGAUCUUAGUUCUUCCACAACAGUACGCCUUGGAUAUCCCAGCACACCUAAAAAACAUGAUUGUGACCUAAAAUAUAAUCUCAUGUAGAAGACAGAGACAUUUAAGGAGGAUAUAAGUAACUCACUGGUAGAAGUAUAGGAAAACACAGUCAAACAGGCAGAAUCCAUUAAAGAGGAAACAAAUCCUCCAAAGAAACACAGGAAAACAGUGUCAAACAGGUGAAGAAUUUGAACAAAGAAGUACAAUACCUAAAAAUGGAAGUAGAAACCAUAAAGAAAUCACAAAUGGAGGUAACCCUAGAAAUGGAAAACCUAGGAAAGGGGUCAGGAGCUGCAGAUGCAAACAUCAAAAACAAAUAUAAGAGAUAGAAGAGAGAAUCUCAGGAUUAGAAGAUACCUUAGAAGAUAUUGAAGAAAUAGUCAAAGAAAAUACAAAACAUAUAAAAAAAACACCUAACCCAAAACAUCCAGGAAAUCCAGGACACAAUGAAAGCAACAAACCUGAAGUUAAUAGGAAUAGAGAAAAAGUGAAGAUUCCCAGCUCAAAGGACCAGAUAAUGACUUCAAUAAAAUCAUAGAGGAGAACUUCCCCAACCUAAAGAAAGAAGUGGCCAUAAAUGUAUAAGAAGCCCAUAGAACAACAAAUAGAUUGGACCAGGAAAGAAAAUCCCCUUGUAAAUAAUAAUCAAUAUACUAAAAUCACAGAACAAGAAAGAAUACUAAAACCUGUAAGGAAAUGGCCAAGUAUACACAAAAUUGAAAAUGCCAAGAAGUGCAUGGUAAAAGGGGCCUGAUAUAGCUGUCUCUUGAGAGGCUCUGCCAGAGGCAGACAAAUACAGAGGCAGAUGUUUGCAGCCAGGAAUUGAACUGAGAACAGGGUCCCUAAUUAAGGAGUUAGAGAAAGGACUGAAGGAGCUGACAGGGUUUGAAACCCCAUAAAAGAAAAACAAUGUCAACCAAUCAGAACCCCAAAGCUCCCAAGAACUAAACCACUAUCCCAAAAAAACACCAGGAUGGCCCUGUCGGACAUCAGUGGGAAGAGAGGCAGUUGUUCCUGUCAAGGCUCGAAGCCCCAUUGUAGGGGAAUGUCAGGGUUGGGAGGUAGGAGUGAGUAGGUGGAUGGGUGGGGAAGCACCCUCAUAGAAACAGGAGGAGAUAUAGGGUUUCUGGAGGUAAAACUGGGAAAGGGGAUAACAUUUGAAGUUUACAUUCAAAAUACCCAAAAAAUGUCAGAGAGAGAGAGAGAGACAGAGAGAGAGACACAGAGAGAGAGAGAGACAGAGAGAGAGACAGAGAGAGAGACAGAGAGAGACAGACAGACAGACAGAGAGAGAGAGAGACAGAGAGAGAGAGAGAACACAAACACAAACAUUUUUCCAGGCUAGUAAACUAUGCAAAACUCUGAAUCAUCAUGGACAGAGAAAACAAAAUAUUCCAGGACAAGAUCAAACUUAAAUAAUAUUUAUCUACCAUCCAGCCCUACAGAGGAUUCUAGAUGGAAAAUUCCAACACAAGAAGGGGGGUACCAAAACAAGGUACCAAAGGGGGGUAAAAACAAGAAAUUAAUCAUCUCAACAAUAACAAAAGGAAAGAGUCACAUAUACAUAAUGCCACCUACAACAACAAACAUUACAGAAACUAACAUUCAUUUGCAUUUAAUAUCUCUCAGUAUCAAUGGAAUCAAUUCCCCAAUAAAGAGUAAUAAGGUAAUGGACUGGAUAUGCAAGAAGGACCCAGCCUUUUGCUGCAGGCAGGAAACUUCCUUGACAAAGGCAGACUCCACAUCAGAGUAAAACGUUGGAAAAAAUUCUUCCACACAAGUUGUUCCAAGAAACAAGCAGAAGUUGCCAUUUUAAUAUCCAAUAAUGCAGACUUUCAACUAAAAGUUAUCAUAUUCAUUAAAGGUAAAUCUACCAAGAGAAAUAUCAAUUUUGAAUAUCUAUGCCCCAAAUGCAAGGGAAACAUCAUUCAUAAAGUAAAUGUUACUAAAGCUCGAAGCAUACCUUGAACCCCACACAAUAAUAACGGGAUGAUUCAACACCAUCUCACUAAUAGACAAAUCAUUGAAACAGAAAAUAAACAAAGACACAAUGAGUUAGUAGAAACUCUGACCCAAAUGGAUUUAGCAGAUAUUUACAGAACAUUACAUCCUGAAACAAAAGAAUAUACCUUUGUCUCAGCACCUCAUGGUGUAUUCUCCAAAAUUGGCCAUAUGACCAGUCACAGAACAAGCUUGAACAGAUACAUGAAGAUUGAAAUAAACCUCUGCAUUGUGUUCAGAAAGCACACAUACUCGAGAAAAUUGAACAAUUCUCUAAUCAAUAAUAACUUAGUCAGGGAAGAGAUACAGAAAGAAAUAAAAGACUUUCUAGAAUACAAUGAGAAUAAAGACACAACAUACCCAAACUAAUGGGACAAAAUGAAAGGAUUGCUAAGAGGAAAAUUCAUAAUAUUAACUGCCCUCAUAAUUGGAGGGAUCUUACACUAGCAACCCAACAGCACACCUGAGAUUUCUAGAAGGAGAAAAAGCACACUCAACCACAAGGAGAAGAGGGCAAGAAAUAAUCAAGCUAGGUGCAGAAAUCAACCAAUUAGAAAUAAAGA
Non-coding RNA from Rattus norvegicus (Norway rat), 3461 nucleotides. Lineage: Eukaryota; Metazoa; Chordata; Mammalia; Rodentia; Muridae. The record is from RefSeq and is a predicted model, not a curated record.